This 561-nucleotide ribosomal RNA is filed under the name Rhodotorula sp. Its description in RNAcentral is "partial large subunit ribosomal RNA". It matches the Rfam family "Eukaryotic large subunit ribosomal RNA", at positions 81 to 657 of the family's 3401-position model. The record is from RNAcentral. Lineage: Eukaryota; Fungi; Basidiomycota; Microbotryomycetes; Sporidiobolales; Sporidiobolaceae.
UAGUAGCGGCGAGCGAAGCGGGAAGAGCUCAAAUUUAUAAUCUGGCACCUUCGGUGUCCGAGUUGUAAUCUCUAGAAAUGUUUUCCGCGUUGGACCGCACACAAGUCUGUUGGAAUACAGCGGCAUAGUGGUGAGACCCCCGUAUAUGGUGCGGACGCCCAGCGCUUUGUGAUACAUUUUCGAAGAGUCGAGUUGUUUGGGAAUGCAGCUCAAAUUGGGUGGUAAAUUCCAUCUAAAGCUAAAUAUUGGCGAGAGACCGAUAGCGAACAAGUACCGUGAGGGAAAGAUGAAAAGCACUUUGGAAAGAGAGUUAACAGUACGUGAAAUUGUUGGAAGGGAAACGCUUGAAGUCAGACUUGCUUGCCGAGCAAUCGGUUUGCAGGCCAGCAUCAGUUUUCCGGGAUGGAUAAUGGUAGAGAGAAGGUAGCAGUUUCGGCUGUGUUAUAGCUCUCUGCUGGAUACAUCUUGGGGGACUGAGGAACGCAGUGUGCCUUUUGGCGGGGGUUUCGACCUCUUCACACUUAGGAUGCUGGUGGAAUGGCUUUAAACGACCCGUCUUGA